Molecule: ribosomal RNA, 1444 nt
Filed under: uncultured bacterium
Lineage: Bacteria
Description: partial 16S ribosomal RNA
Rfam family: Bacterial small subunit ribosomal RNA
Source: RNAcentral
GAACGCUAGCGACAGGCCUAACACAUGCAAGUCGAGGGGCAUCGGGGCGAGGAGCAAUCCUUGCCGCCGGCGACCGGCGCACGGGUGAGUAACGCGUAUGCGACCUGCCCGUUGCAGGGGGAUAAUCGGGAGAAAUCCCGUCUAAUACCGCGUAACGCCGCGGGGCUGCAUGGCCCUGCGGCCAAAGGGAGCGAUUCCGGCAACGGAUGGGCAUGCGUGACAUUAGCUAGUUGGCGGGGCAACGGCCCACCAAGGCGACGAUGUCUAGGGGUUCUGAGAGGAAGGUCCCCCACACUGGUACUGAGACACGGACCAGACUCCUACGGGAGGCAGCAGUGAGGAAUAUUGGUCAAUGGGCGCGAGCCUGAACCAGCCAAGUCGCGUGAGGGAUGACGGCCCUACGGGUUGUAAACCUCUUUUGUCGGGGAGCAAAUUCCGCCACGUGUGGCGGAGUCGAGAGUACCCGAAGAAAAAGCAUCGGCUAACUCCGUGCCAGCAGCCGCGGUAAUACGGAGGAUGCGAGCGUUAUCCGGAUUUAUUGGGUUUAAAGGGUGCGUAGGCGGACUGUCAAGUCAGCGGUAAAAUACGGGGGCUCAACCUCCGCCCGCCGUUGAAACUGACGGUCUUGAGUGGGCGAGAAGUAUGCGGAAUGCGUGGUGUAGCGGUGAAAUGCAUAGAUAUCACGCAGAACUCCGAUUGCGAAGGCAGCAUACCGGCGCCCAACUGACGCUGAAGCACGAAAGCGUGGGUAUCGAACAGGAUUAGAUACCCUGGUAGUCCACGCAGUAAACGAUGAAUACUAGCUGUCCGGGGCGAAUGAGCCCUGGGUGGCACAGCGAAAGCGUUAAGUAUUCCACCUGGGGAGUACGCCGGCAACGGUGAAACUCAAAGGAAUUGACGGGGGCCCGCACAAGCGGAGGAACAUGUGGUUUAAUUCGAUGAUACGCGAGGAACCUUACCCGGGCUCAAACGACACAGGAACGUACCUGAAAGGGUUCGGCUCUACGGAGCCUGUGUCGAGGUGCUGCAUGGUUGUCGUCAGCUCGUGCCGUGAGGUGUCGGCUUAAGUGCCAUAACAAGCGCAACCCCCAUCGACAGUUGCUAACAGGUUAGGCUGAGGACUCUGUCGAGACUGCCGGCGCAAGCUGCGAGGAAGGCGGGGAUGACGUCAAAUCAGCACGGCCCUUACGUCCGGGGCGACACACGUGUUACAAUGGCAGGUACAGCGGGAAGCCACCUGGCGACAGGGAGCGGAACCCGAAAGCCUGUCUCAGUUCGGAUUGGAGUCUGCAACCCGACUCCAUGAAGCUGGAUUCGCUAGUAAUCGCGCAUCAGCCACGGCGCGGUGAAUACGUUCCCGGGCCUUGUACACACCGCCCGUCAAGCCAUGGAAGCCGGGGGUGCCUGAAGUGCGCUACGGCGAGGAGCGCCCUAGGGUAAAACC